GGAGAACUGUGUCUGCAGUGUUAUUGAUCAGCGGAUCCAUUUGUUUCUCAAAUGCUGUUUGGUUCUUGGUGUGCAGCGGUCUCUAUUAGACCUUCCUGGAGGCCUUACUCUCAUUGAAGCAGAACUGGCAGAACUGGGCCAAAAGUUUGUCAACUUGACACAUCACAAUCAGCAGGUGUUUGGUCCCUACUACACUGAGAUCCUAAAAACCCUCAUUUCCCCAGCCCAGGCACUGGAAACAAAAGUGGAGUCUGUUUGAUAGCGUCGGCUCAGAGCCCUGGUACCUUGGACCCAAGAGGAGGCCCAUCAUCUUCCUGGAGUAACAUCACCAGUGACCAGCAGACAGUGAGCUUCUAUCCCAGGCCCUGCAGCCAGUACACCAAGGCUGUAGGGAUCAAGCAUGUAAACACCAACUGGUCCAUACCCAUUCAUUAAUAAACUUCUUAAGUGCAAG
This 454-nucleotide long non-coding RNA is filed under the name Homo sapiens (human). RNAcentral describes it as "HSALNT0105427". The record is from RNAcentral. Lineage: Eukaryota; Metazoa; Chordata; Mammalia; Primates; Hominidae.